AUUGAACGCUGGCGGCAGGCUUAACACAUGCAAGUCGAGAGGGGUGAUGGUGCUUGCACUAUCACUUAGCGGCGGACGGGUGAGUAAUGCUUAGGAAUCUGCCUAUUAGUGGGGGACAACAUCUCGAAAGGGAUGCUAAUACCGCAUACGUCCUACGGGAGAAAGCAGGGGAUCACUUGUGACCUUGCGUUAAUAGAUGAGCCUAAGUCGGAUUAGCUAGUUGGUGGGGUAAAGGCCUACCAAGGCGACGAUCUGUAGCGGGUCUGAGAGGAUGAUCCGCCACACUGGGACUGAGACACGGCCCAGACUCCUACGGGAGGCAGCAGUGGGGAAUAUUGGACAAUGGGGGGAACCCUGAUCCAGCCAUGCCGCGUGUGUGGAGAAGGCCUUAUGGUUGUAAAGCACUUUAAGCGAGGAGGAGGCUCUUUUGGUUAAUACCCAAGAUGAGUGGACGUUACUCGCAGAAUAAGCACCGGCUAACUCUGUGCCAGCCGCCGCGGUAA
Molecule: ribosomal RNA, 503 nt
Filed under: uncultured bacterium
Lineage: Bacteria
Description: partial 16S ribosomal RNA
Rfam family: Bacterial small subunit ribosomal RNA
Source: RNAcentral